CUACAUUGUGUGUCAAAUCCUUUCUGAAUCCUUUUUGUUGCAUAUAUGAGAAGACAUUUAGAAAAAGAUUUUGGAAUGCCUUUAAUCUUCUAAAUCAACAAUAAAGAAAAAAAUGAAAUAAAGGUCAAGGUUUUGAUAUACUGCUUCUAAAGUACAUCCCACACUGAGUAAAACACCAUGAAAUCAUCUGUCAGAACUGACUUUCUUCCAGAGACUACAUUCCAAGAGCGUGAAGAGAGCAAAGUGGCUAUUGGAUGGUUUCCUUAGAUUCCAAUGCACCUUAAUCAUAUUCACAAGACUGUACGUUUUCAUCACUGCAGGAGCUGGCAGAAUUUUGUGACAAUUCUGGGAAAUGCUUUCAGAUGGCCCCUUCUAUGAAUUAUGAAUGUUUCACAAAGCUCUAUGGUAAAUGGAAUAGCCUUGUUCUCCACAAAUGCAGGGGUGGAUUAAGAGGUGGCCUUCCUUUGUUUCUUUGCCUUGAAAUUUAAUAUUGUUUGCAAACAGAGAAAUUAAAUCUCGAUGAAGGUUCCCAUGGGUGAAUUUGGUGUUACAGCAAGAUUUGAAACUGUCUGACCUGAUAGGGGUGAAAAGAAUCUGGCUGGACUGUCCACCUCUCACUGUGGGGGCAGCUCCUGGCUUAGAAGUUCUAGACCAGGUCCAAAGGCUGUUGACAGAGAACCCACAUCUUAUCACAGGAGAUUCCAAGGAGUCACACAGAUGGCCCCACGGAGGGUCAAGCUGGAAGAGGAAAGGGAAGGUGAAAUAUGAGAGAAGCUGAAAGGAUAUACAGCAGGAAGACAAGCUUUCAAGGAGCUUCAGUGUGUGCAUCUGCAUUUAGACCACAAACAGCAACAGUGCUGGAAUUUCCACUCUCUGAGGUGUUAGGUAUGACAGUCCCAUGGUAGGGAAAGUUAUUUAGAAAGAAUCAUGCAAAAUUGAAGAGAAUGUUUAGAAUGUUUAUUUAAUAAGCAUCAAGUUUUGCUCAAGCUUAAUAGAUUCUCAACUGUGUGACUUUAGGAAAUACAAUCUGUACAGUGUUUCUGAAGUAACCACUUACCAGACAAUAAAACAAAUCAUACAGCUAAAAUAAACAUCUCAAAAUUAUCUGCCCAGCCCUCAGCUUCCCAACCACUCUGCACAGAUAUGUGUCUAUUUUAUACCUAAAUAUUACCCAAAGUGGAAACUUUUAACUAUCCACCUAUACCUCAUUUCUGUGUUUUAUCACAGUAAGUCCCAAUUCCAUGAAUUUGCUUUUGCCAUUUUUAUGACACAUCAAUGGCUGUCCAAAAGACUCCAGAAAUUAUUCAACUUCCAGUAGGUCACUGAGAAAGGCCAAGAGAGAAAAUUUCCAUCAAAUGGGUACUUUCUUCACCAGAAAUAGGGGUGGAAGACUCUCUCAACAAGACACCACAGAAGAGGUGGGUGGGUGGCAAAUUUCUUCUUUGUUUUUCUUCUGUAGUGUUCCAUAGAUGCCUCUUCCAUGACAGUUUUACUAUGUGAUAAUUAUUUGUUAAUAUGUUUGGUUUUCCUCUAGAUCCCAACCUUCCUUGAUGAAAGGAUGCUAGGUGCUCAAUAAAUGCUUCAUGAAGAAAUGAACCCAAUCACAUGCCAGGCCUUUAAGAAUACUCACUAUUGGAGCACUCUCUCUAAGAACCCACAUGCAGAGGCCACAUAGAGGAGCUUCAGUUGACAGCUCUGGCUAAGCUCCAACCCAAUAGCCAGCAGCAGCUGCCAGGCUUGUGAAUGACAUCUUGGACAUCCAGCUCAGUCAAGUCUUCAGAUGACUCCAGUCUCAGCUGCCAUCUGACUGCAACUGCAUGAGAGAUUCCAAGUAAGAAUUGUCCCAGUUGAGCCCAGUCAACAUGCAGAAGUUGGGAGAUGAUAAAAAAUUAUUGUUUUGAGACACUAAAUUUUAGAGUAUUUAAUUUUGCAGUAAUAGACACCUGAAACAAUGUUUUCUUCUGAGUUAAUUUGCGAAUUGUGAAAAUUUUCAAGAGAUGGUUAGUAAAAGUUUUUGUGUGCAUAUUUCAAGUUUAAUGUACCUGGUGCUGAAAACCAUUUGGAACUGUAAGCAUGUU
Molecule: long non-coding RNA, 2078 nt
Filed under: Homo sapiens (human)
Lineage: Eukaryota; Metazoa; Chordata; Mammalia; Primates; Hominidae
Description: HSALNT0190149
Source: RNAcentral